This 378-nucleotide ribosomal RNA is filed under the name uncultured bacterium. RNAcentral describes it as "bacterial SSU rRNA". It matches the Rfam family "Bacterial small subunit ribosomal RNA", at positions 521 to 896 of the family's 1533-position model. The record is from RNAcentral.
UAAUACGAGGACCCCGAGCGUUAUCCGGAUUUAUUGGGCGUAAAGAGUGCGCAGGAGGUCUGAUGCGUCUUGUGUUAAAUGUCACUGCUUAACAGUGUCGCCGCAUGAGAUACGAUCAGACUAGAGCAUGUUAGAGGUUACUAGAACUUAUGGUGUAGGGGUGAAAUCCGUUGAUAUCAUAGGGAAUACCAAAGGCGAAGGCAUGUAACUGGAACAUUGCUGACUCUCAUUGCACGAAAGCGUGGGGAGCAAAAAGGAUUAGAUACCCUUGUAGUCCACGCCCUAAACGAUGCCGACUAGCUGUUUCGAGUAUCGACCCUCGGAGUGGCGCAGCUAACGCGUUAAGUCGGCCGCCUGGGAAGUACGAUCGCAAGAUUA